AACUACUUGUUCCUUAAAUUGUAAAUAAAUUACAAAUUUAUACUUUCCAAUGUAUCGCAAUGAUCGUAUCUCCACAAGACAUUGGUGUAUAAAUAUACAUUUUUUUUAAACACAAACAUUCAGCCAAGAUUGAGCAUUAAAGUGUUAAAAGGUUAAAUGUUAAAUAAAUUGGGACUGAGUUUUUAAUGAAUUCUCUGAAGUAGAUACCUAUGUUUUUUACAUUUCCUUCACAUAGAUACUUUAUAAAAUAGCAUAAUUC
This is a non-coding RNA of Cinara cedri, 259 nucleotides long. Lineage: Eukaryota; Metazoa; Arthropoda; Insecta; Hemiptera; Aphididae. The record is from the annotation of a GenBank genome assembly.